UCCCUGGUGGCUCAGUGGUAGAGGAUCUGCCUGCCAAUGCAGGACACACAGAUUCGAUCCCUGUUCUGGGAA
RNAcentral lists this transfer RNA (72 nucleotides) under Ovis aries (sheep). It matches the Rfam family "tRNA". From Rfam's summary of the family: Transfer RNA (tRNA) molecules are approximately 80 nucleotides in length. Their secondary structure includes four short double-helical elements and three loops (D, anti-codon, and T loops). Lineage: Eukaryota; Metazoa; Chordata; Mammalia; Artiodactyla; Bovidae. The record is from Rfam by way of RNAcentral.